GGAAUACGUCCCAACACAUCGCAGCAGAUCGCAAAAUCCCGAUCGAAUCGCUCCCUAUUUUGCUAUUUUUACUAUCUAAAAAUGAGUUUCGCCGCAUUUAGAAGUGUCUCAUGCUCAUAGUCAGUGUCAUAAUGUAAACCUCGUGUAUGAUUAGUUGUCGUAAAUUAUCGGUGCCGCGAUUUCGAAUUCCCCGAAUCUGGCGAUCGGAACCUCUCGCCUUCGCGCAUAUUUCGCGUCAAAGUGCAACAAGAAAGCGAUUAAUGAACGAUCGUAAUCAGGAAUGAAGAGAACGCUUAGGCUUCGAGCAUAAGCAUUGUCCCUGGUUUUCCCUCUCUAAUACUCGCCUGGUGUUCUUAAUUAGGGGGAUUUGCGUUAGGAAGACGGGAGCUUUUCGAGACGCCCGUUAUUGCCUCGUUAAAGGGAAUUGGACGGAAUGCAAACAUCUACGCCCUUCAUAUAAGCUGUAUGUUCCUCAUUAUUUCAUAUGACGCCGCUUGGAGGUGCGCAAUUAUCGAUUAACGAGAUACACCUGUGUGCGAGAGACAUACGCUACGUUUGCGAAACAACAAGUUACAUUUACAAUAAGGUUAUUACGUGGUGCACGCUGCUGAAACUCGAAUCGGGGCAUUAAUCCGAUAGAGGAAUGCACGGACGCGUUCGGAUUACCGUUGAUCAAAAGAACGAAGGUAGAGAACCAUGGAUUUUGAUGAUACAACGGACAAAAGAGAGGAGGACUAAUUUCGUUGUGACUUGAAAUUUUCUGACAUGCCACAGUGAACAAGCGGUAUGUCAGACUUAUUAUUAUAGCGCCGAGAGCCACAUCUUCUAAGGCGUGGUCCUGUAUAGUUGCAUUCGUAAUCUGAUAAAGAUUCCCGAAGCACGCUUCCGGGCCUAAUGAAUCCAUGUUAUAUGUUAAUAAGCAACUGGCUUUAGACGUCAAAGGGUUUAGAGGCAAUUAAAUUGAUUUAUAUAUA
Molecule: long non-coding RNA, 974 nt
Organism: Formica exsecta
Lineage: Eukaryota; Metazoa; Arthropoda; Insecta; Hymenoptera; Formicidae
Exons: 5
Source: RefSeq, a predicted model, not a curated record